AGGAUCGACGAGGGUGUAAAGGAUCUUCUUUUGCUCGGCAUGGUUCCGCCGUUAUCGGGCCGUUUGAUAGUUGCAAAUGACAACUACGCUGAGGCACGUCUAGCUGCGUAAGCGGUUCGACUGUUUCGAAUCUAGUCCUGUAAGUUAGCGCUUGGAGGCGGGGUUCGGAGGCACCUGGCAACAGAAGCCUCCA
This 193-nucleotide small RNA is filed under the name Schmidingerella taraikaensis. RNAcentral describes it as "partial Alphaproteobacteria transfer-messenger RNA". It matches the Rfam family "Alphaproteobacteria transfer-messenger RNA", at positions 159 to 353 of the family's 355-position model. From Rfam's summary of the family: Bacterial tmRNA, also known as 10Sa RNA or SsrA, is named for its dual tRNA and mRNA-like properties. Its role is to liberate the mRNA from a stalled ribosome. To accomplish this part of the tmRNA is used as a reading frame that ends in a translation stop signal. The record is from RNAcentral. Lineage: Eukaryota; Ciliophora; Spirotrichea; Tintinnida; Rhabdonellidae.